This 71-nucleotide transfer RNA is filed under the name Marmota marmota marmota (Alpine marmot). It matches the Rfam family "tRNA". From Rfam's summary of the family: Transfer RNA (tRNA) molecules are approximately 80 nucleotides in length. Their secondary structure includes four short double-helical elements and three loops (D, anti-codon, and T loops). The record is from Rfam by way of RNAcentral. RNAcentral also lists the same sequence under 3 other names. Lineage: Eukaryota; Metazoa; Chordata; Mammalia; Rodentia; Sciuridae.
UGAGGUGUAGCUUGGUGGCAGAGCACCUGUUUAGAAUGCAGGGAGCCCUGGGUUCUUCCCUAGUACUGCAC